CGGGUGAGUAUGUCUGGGAAACUGCCUGAUGGAGGGGGAUAACUGCUGAAAACGGUAGCUAAUACCGCAUAACGUCGCAAGACCAAAGAGGGGGACCUUCGGGCCUCUUGCCAUCGGAUGUGCCCAGAUGGGAUUAGCUAGUAGGUGGGGUAACGGCUCACCUAGGCGACGAUCCCUAGCUGGUCUGAGAGGAUGCCAGCCACACUGGAACUGAGACACGGUCCAG
Molecule: ribosomal RNA, 226 nt
Filed under: uncultured bacterium
Lineage: Bacteria
Description: partial 16S ribosomal RNA
Rfam family: Bacterial small subunit ribosomal RNA
Source: RNAcentral